RNAcentral lists this ribosomal RNA (492 nucleotides) under uncultured bacterium. RNAcentral's name for it is "partial 16S ribosomal RNA". It matches the Rfam family "Bacterial small subunit ribosomal RNA", at positions 29 to 507 of the family's 1533-position model. The record is from RNAcentral.
AGUGAACGCUGGCGGUAGGCCUAACACAUGCGAGUCGAACGGCAGCACAGUAAGAGCUUGCUCUUACGGGUGGCGAGUGGCGGACGGGUGAGGAAUACAUCGGAAUCUACUUUUUCGUGGGGGAUAACGUAGGGAAACUUACGCUAAUACCGCAUACGACCUACGGGUGAAAGCAGGGGAUCUUCGGACCUUGCGCGAUUGAAUGAGCCGAUGUCGGAUUAGCUAGUUGGCGGGGUAAAGGCCCACCAAGGCGACGAUCCGUAGCUGGUCUGAGAGGAUGAUCAGCCACACUGGAACUGAGACACGGUCCAGACUCCUACGGGAGGCAGCAGUGGGGAAUAUUGGACAAUGGGCGCAAGCCUGAUCCAGCCAUACCGCGUGGGUGAAGAAGGCCUUCGGGUUGUAAAGCCCUUUUGUUGGGAAAGAAAAGCAGCAGGUUAAUACCCCGCUGUUCUGACGGUACCCAAAGAAUAAGCACCGGCUAACCUCGUG